AGUGAACGCUGGCGGUAGGCCUAACACAUGCAAGUCGAACGGCAGCACAGUAAGAGCUUGCUCUUACGGGUGGCGAGUGGCGGACGGGUGAGGAAUACAUCGGAAUCUACUUUUUCGUGGGGGAUAACGUAGGGAAACUUACGCUAAUACCGCAUACGACCUACGGGUGAAAGCAGGGGAUCUUCGGACCUUGCGCGAUUGAAUGAGCCGAUGUCGGAUUAGCUAGUUGGCGGGGUAAAGGCCCACCAAGGCGACGAUCCGCAGCUGGUCUGAGAGGAUGAUCAGCCACACUGGAACUGAGACACGGUCCAGACUCCUACGGGAGGCAGCAGUGGGGAAUAUUGGACAAUGGGCGCAAGCCUGAUCCAGCCAUACCGCGUGGGUGAAGAAGGCCUUCGGGUUGUAAAGCCCUUUUGUUGGGAAAGAAAAGCAGCAGGUUAAUACCCCGCUGUUCUGACGGUACCCAAAGAAUAAGCACCGGCUAACUUCGU
Molecule: ribosomal RNA, 491 nt
Filed under: uncultured bacterium
Lineage: Bacteria
Description: partial 16S ribosomal RNA
Rfam family: Bacterial small subunit ribosomal RNA
Source: RNAcentral